RNAcentral lists this ribosomal RNA (396 nucleotides) under uncultured bacterium. RNAcentral's name for it is "partial 16S ribosomal RNA". It matches the Rfam family "Bacterial small subunit ribosomal RNA", at positions 523 to 918 of the family's 1533-position model. The record is from RNAcentral.
AUACGUAGGGGGCGAGCGUUGUCCGGAAUGAUUGGGCGUAAAGGGCGCGUAGGCGGCCCGGUAAGUCUGGAGUGAAAGUCCUGUUUUUAAGAUGGGAAUUGCUUUGGAUACUGUCGGGCUUGAGUGCAGGAGAGGUAAGUGGAAUUCCCAGUGUAGCGGUGAAAUGCGUAGAGAUUGGGAGGAACACCAGUGGCGAAGGCGACUUACUGGACUGUAACUGACGCUGAGGCGCGAAAGUGUGGGGAGCAAACAGGAUUAGAUACCCUGGUAGUCCACGCUGUAAACGAUGAAUACUAGGUGUGGGGGGACUGACCCCCUCCGUGCCGCAGUUAACACAAUAAGUAUUCCACCUGGGGAGUACGAUCGCAAGAUUGAAACUCAAAUGAAUUGACGGGG